CGCAUCUGUGCAUGCAGCAUAUCAAUAAGCGGAGGAAAAGAAACUAACAAGGAUUCCCCUAGUAACGGCGAGUGAAGCGGGAAGAGCUCAAAUUUGAAAUCUUAAAGGGUUUCCCUUUACGAAUUGUAGUUUAAAGAAGUGUUUUCUGUUGAGGUUUUGGUAAAAGUUCUUUGGAAUAGGACAUCAUAGAGGGUGAGAAUCCCGUAUUUGACCUUUACUUUCAACUUUGUGAUACACUUUCAAAGAGUCGGAUUGUUUGGGAAUGCAGUCCAAAAUAGGUGGUAAAUUUCAUCUAAAGCUAAAUAUUAGGCGAGAGACCGAUAGCGAACAAGUACCGUGAGGGAAAGAUGAAAAGAACUUUGAAAAGAGAGUUAAACAGUACGUGAAAUUGUCAAAAGGGAAGCGUUUGACACCAGUGUUGUUUUUCUGAAAAUCAAUUAAAGAACUGUUUAUGCUAAGCUUGUUUAGACUUUAUCAGCUAACUGUUUAGUUUUGAGCUUUUCUUUAAUGCACUUUUCAGUUAACAAGUCAACAUCAAUUUCUUUUGCUGUAAAAAAGCUUGAGGAAGGUGGCUUGAGAUUCGUCUUAAGUGUUUAUAGCCUCUUGCCUAUGCAGUCGGAGAGAUUGAGGUCUGCAGCGUAGAUCCUUCGGGGCUAAAUGCAUUUGUGCUAAGUUAUAGCAUUUUAUAGACAGCUUGCUUGACUAUGAUUUGUCUUGUAGCUUACUCGCUUAUGUUAUUUUACCUACGCUUAGGAUGUUGAACGCGCACAGAGUCUC
Molecule: ribosomal RNA, 777 nt
Filed under: uncultured Neocallimastigales
Lineage: Eukaryota; Fungi; Neocallimastigomycota; Neocallimastigomycetes; Neocallimastigales
Description: partial large subunit ribosomal RNA
Rfam family: Eukaryotic large subunit ribosomal RNA
Source: RNAcentral